AACGAACGCUGGCGGCAUGCCUAACACAUGCAAGUCGAACGGAUGGUUUCGGCCAUCAGUGGCGCACGGGUGAGUAACGCGUGGGAAUCUGCCCAGCAGUGGGGGAUAACCUCUGGAAACGGAGGCUAAUACCGCAUACGCCCCUCGGGGGAAAGGCUUGCUGCUGCUGGAGGAGCCCGCGUCGGAUUAGGUAGUUGGUGGGGUAACGGCCUACCAAGCCUGUGAUCCGUAGCUGGUCUGAGAGGAUGAUCAGCCACACUGGGACUGAGACACGGCCCAGACUCCUACGGGAGGCAGCAGUGGGGAAUAUUGGACAAUGGGGGCAACCCUGAUCCAGCAAUGCCGCGUGAGUGAUGAAGGCCUUAGGGUUGUAAAGCUCUUUCACCCACGACGAUAAAUGACGGUAGUGGGAGAAGAAGCCCCGGCUAACUUCGUG
This 436-nucleotide ribosomal RNA is filed under the name uncultured bacterium. Its description in RNAcentral is "bacterial SSU rRNA". It matches the Rfam family "Bacterial small subunit ribosomal RNA", at positions 29 to 507 of the family's 1533-position model. The record is from RNAcentral.